CACGGGGGGAGCAAGCGUUGUUCGGAAUCACUGGGCGUAAAGGGAGUCUAGGCGGUCAGGUAAGUGGGACGUGAAAUCCCUCGGCUCACCCGAGGAUCUGCAUCCCAAACUGCCCGGCUUGAGUAUGGGAGAGGAUGAGGGAAUUCCUGGUGUAGCGGUGAAAUGCGUAGAUAUCAGGAGGAACACCGGUGGCGAAAGCGCUCAUCUGGCCCAAUACUGACGCUGAGGCGCGAAAGCUAGGGGAGCAAACGGG
RNAcentral lists this ribosomal RNA (253 nucleotides) under uncultured bacterium. RNAcentral describes it as "partial 16S ribosomal RNA". It matches the Rfam family "Bacterial small subunit ribosomal RNA", at positions 524 to 776 of the family's 1533-position model. The record is from RNAcentral.